UACUCAGAAAGUGGAAGUGGAGCUGUGGCUCAAGUGGCAGAACACUAGCCUUGGCACAAAUGCUCAGAAACAACACCCACACCUUGGGUUCAAGCCC
Perognathus longimembris pacificus (Pacific pocket mouse) is the source of this 97-nucleotide long non-coding RNA. RefSeq lists it as uncharacterized. NCBI's taxonomy places the organism in Eukaryota, Metazoa, Chordata, Mammalia, Rodentia, Heteromyidae. The record is from RefSeq and is a predicted model, not a curated record. The transcript has 3 exons.